GCUGGGCAUGGUGGUGCAUGCCUGUAAUCCCAGCUGCUUGGGAGGCUGAGGCAGGAGAAUCACUUGAACCCAGGAGGCUGAGAUUGCAGUGAGCCAAGAUCACAUCAUUGCACUCCAGCCUGGGUGACAGUGAGACCCUGUCUCAA
Molecule: unclassified non-coding RNA, 146 nt
Organism: Papio anubis (olive baboon)
Lineage: Eukaryota; Metazoa; Chordata; Mammalia; Primates; Cercopithecidae
Rfam family: Metazoan signal recognition particle RNA
About the family: The signal recognition particle (SRP) is a universally conserved ribonucleoprotein. It is involved in the co-translational targeting of proteins to membranes.
Source: Ensembl